ACAGGACGUUUAGAUACUCUUUAAAUCCUUAUAAAUCUUAAAGAGUGUCCCUUUUAAAAAGGGCUUUAUGAAGAAAGCACUUUAAGCUUUUCCAAUGAUUUAAGAUGAUACCGGGGAAGGUUUUCCGGUUUAUCCCGGAGGGCUUGUAGCUCAGUUGGUUAGAGCGCGCGCUUGAUAAGCGUGAGGUCGGAGGUUCAAGUCCUCCCAGGCCCACCAAUUUAUGCUCGUUUUUUACUUAUCCUGANAGUUAUGAAGCUUAAGCGUAUUAAACGUAUCAAAGCCUCUUUAAUCUUUAUUCAUCGUUUAAAGAUUUUAUUUUAUCCUUCAAAAAUUGUUUGUUAAAUUUACAUUACGUUUAUCAAACA
RNAcentral lists this unclassified non-coding RNA (365 nucleotides) under Bartonella sp. Rr238ug. Its description in RNAcentral is "partial 16S-23S ribosomal RNA intergenic spacer". The stretch from base 140 to 213 matches the Rfam family "tRNA". Lineage: Bacteria; Pseudomonadati; Pseudomonadota; Alphaproteobacteria; Hyphomicrobiales; Bartonellaceae. The record is from RNAcentral.